AUGGCUAAUCUUGCCAACAUGUUUGCUGUCCUUGACCUGGAUGGCGAGGACGAUCGAAAGGAAGUGGAACAACCGACAUCCAGCAAGCCAGAAGCUGCUGCCACCGCCGCCGCCAGGAAACCCGAUAGUGGCAUGGUGAAUAACAAAAUGAUUGUAAAUUAUAAUGGGGAUACACUUGGUUCAUCGUCAAGUGAGUACAAGAUGCCAUUGGUGUGGAUUGACUUGGAAAUGACCGGUUUGGAUAUCAGAAAAGACCGCAUAUUGGAGAUUGCUUGUAUUAUAACAGAUGGUAAACUUACCAAACGGAUAGAGGGUCCUGAUUUGGUUAUAAGACAGAGCAAGGAAUGCUUAGACAACAUGAAUGAAUGGUGUAAAACCCAUCAUGGUGCCAGUGGACUGACAGAACAAGUACUGCAGAGUGAUAUUUCUGAGUGUGAUGCUGAGAAACAGGUGCUAGACUUUGUUAGGAGGUAUAUUGGUUCGGCGACUCCAUUGAUUGCUGGGAAUUCUAUCUAUACAGAUUUACUAUUUUUGAAGGAGUAUAUGCCACAGCUUGCAGGCAUAUUCCCUCAUGUGAUAGUUGAUGUGAGCAGCAUAACGGCUCUGUGCAUCCGCUGGUUCCCCAAGGAAAGGAAGCAAGCUCCAAGAAAGGAGAAAAACCACAGGGCACUGGACGACAUCAGAGAGAGCAUCAUGGAGCUGCAGUACUACAAGGAGAACAUCUUCAAAUCGCGGCAAUCUAAGCAUUAG
This 750-nucleotide ribosomal RNA is filed under the name Triticum aestivum (bread wheat). Its description in RNAcentral is "partial small subunit ribosomal RNA". The record is from RNAcentral. Lineage: Eukaryota; Viridiplantae; Streptophyta; Magnoliopsida; Poales; Poaceae.